UGACUGGGGUGAAGUCGUAACAAGGUAACCGUAGGGGAACCUGCGGUUGGAUCACCUCCUUACCUGAAGAUACC
Molecule: ribosomal RNA, 74 nt
Filed under: Pantoea agglomerans
Lineage: Bacteria; Pseudomonadati; Pseudomonadota; Gammaproteobacteria; Enterobacterales; Erwiniaceae
Description: partial 16S ribosomal RNA
Rfam family: Bacterial small subunit ribosomal RNA (bases 1-62)
Source: RNAcentral